GUUUAGGGUGCUUGUGGGGAACUGUAGAACAGUUUCAGAUGGAUUUAUAGUAGACCUUCUGGGUGAAGCUUCUAUUCUCCCCCUAUUUAGAAUGCAGCGGAUUCUACCUUUAAACUUGGUCUUCCCUCCUGCAUAUUCAAUGUUUGCAUUUGUGCUAUGGAGGCCAUUGAUUCUCAAUGCAAGUUCUGGGACACGUGAUGAGGUUCAGCACUUGCAUCACUCUUUAAUGUUGGCU
Molecule: unclassified non-coding RNA, 235 nt
Filed under: Hevea brasiliensis (rubber tree)
Lineage: Eukaryota; Viridiplantae; Streptophyta; Magnoliopsida; Malpighiales; Euphorbiaceae
Source: RNAcentral